This 253-nucleotide ribosomal RNA is filed under the name uncultured prokaryote. Its description in RNAcentral is "partial 16S ribosomal RNA". It matches the Rfam family "Bacterial small subunit ribosomal RNA", at positions 524 to 776 of the family's 1533-position model. The record is from RNAcentral.
CACGUAGGGCGCAAGCGUUGUCCGGAAUUAUUGGGCGUAAAGAGCUCGUAGGCGGUCUGUUGCGUCCGCUGUGAAAACUCGGGGCUUAACCCCGAGCCUGCAGUGGAUACGGGCAGACUAGAGGUAGGUAGGGGAGAAUGGAAUUCCCGGUGUAGCGGUGAAAUGUGUUGAUAUCGGAAGGAACGCCGGUGGCGAAAGCGACGCACUGGGUCUUAACUGACGCUGAGGCACGAAAGCCAGGGGAGCGAACGGG